UCCCUUGUGAAGUGUCGUGCUCAGUUGAGGAGAACAACUUUUUGGAGUAGAGGAGGACCAUUCUUUGGUCUAGAUUAUAUGAAUAGCAGGGAUCCCUGAUGGAACCUCUACCCAAGCUCUUAACACCUUAAAAAUGGAUUCCAAAAUUAUUUC
This 153-nucleotide small RNA is filed under the name Dipodomys ordii (Ord's kangaroo rat). Its description in RNAcentral is "7SK RNA (ENSDORG00000022906.2)". The record is from RNAcentral. Lineage: Eukaryota; Metazoa; Chordata; Mammalia; Rodentia; Heteromyidae.